UGUCAUCUAUAUGUUUAAUGCAAGGGCUGU
Molecule: non-coding RNA, 30 nt
Filed under: Rattus norvegicus (Norway rat)
Lineage: Eukaryota; Metazoa; Chordata; Mammalia; Rodentia; Muridae
Source: RNAcentral